This 337-nucleotide unclassified non-coding RNA is filed under the name soil metagenome. RNAcentral's name for it is "partial contains 5.8S ribosomal RNA, internal transcribed spacer 2, and large subunit ribosomal RNA". The stretch from base 1 to 120 matches the Rfam family "5.8S ribosomal RNA", at positions 35 to 154 of the family's 154-position model. The record is from RNAcentral.
GAUGAAGAACGCAGCGAAAUGCGAUAAGUAGUGUGAAUUGCAGAAUUCAGUGAAUCAUCGAAUCUUUGAACGCACACUGCGCCCCUUGGUAUUCCAUGGGGCAUGCCUGUUCGAGCGUCAUUUGUACCUUCAAGCUCUGCUUGGUGUUGGGUGUUUGUCUCGCCUCUGCGCGUAGACUCGCCUCAAAACAAUUGGCAGCCGGCGUAUUGAUUUCGGAGCGCAGUACAUCUCGCGCUUUGCACUCAUAACGACGACGUCCAAAAGUACAUUUUUACACUCUUGACCUCGGAUCAGGUAGGGAUACCCGCUGAACUUAAGCAUAUCAAUAAGCGGAGGA